GAUGAACGCUAGCGGCAGGCCUAACACAUGCAAGUCGAGGGAUAAGCCUUCGGGCUAAGACCGGAGCACGGGUGCGUAACGCGUAUACAAUCUGCCUUUUAUCCGGGGGAUAGCCCGAAGAAAUUUGGAUUAAUACCCUAUGGUAUAAGAGCACGGCAUCGUGCACUUAUUAAAGCUACGGCGGUAAAAGAUGAGUAUGCGUUCUAUUAGCUAGUUGGAGAGGUAACGGCUCCCCAAGGCGACGAUAGAUAGGGGUUCUGAGAGGGAUGUCCCCCACACUGGUACUGAGAUACGGACCAGACUCCUACGGGAGGCAGCAGUGAGGAAUAUUGGACAAUGGUCGGAAGACUGAUCCAGCCAUGCCGCGUGCAGGAUGACGGCCUUAUGGGUUGUAAACUGCUUUUGUAAGGGAAGAACAAGGAGUACGUGUACUUUGAUGACGGUACCUUACGAAUAAGCAUCGGCUAACUCCGUG
RNAcentral lists this ribosomal RNA (475 nucleotides) under uncultured bacterium. Its description in RNAcentral is "partial 16S ribosomal RNA". It matches the Rfam family "Bacterial small subunit ribosomal RNA", at positions 28 to 507 of the family's 1533-position model. The record is from RNAcentral.